This is a non-coding RNA of Durio zibethinus, 3239 nucleotides long. Lineage: Eukaryota; Viridiplantae; Streptophyta; Magnoliopsida; Malvales; Malvaceae. The record is from RefSeq and is a predicted model, not a curated record.
ACCAAAAUAUCCCAAAAAGAAAGGAACAAUCUUAUCUCUCCCUUCACCGAAAACGGCUUUCUUCCAAGUUUGCUGCACUCUCACUCCCUGCAACCAAAGCUGUGCCACGGUUCCUGAAUAACAAGACCAUACCUUAAAAUUCAAAUAAAAAGAAUGGCCGCCAUAAAAUUAACGGAAAUACCACUUAGAACUUCACUCCCUUUCUCUUCUUACUCUUAUUCCUACUCUCCUUCUCUCAACCUUUUCUUCUCUGCCCCAAAACCGUCAUUUCGCUUCUUUAGACCUUUCUCUUCCCUCCGGUCAGGAAAUAACCCUAGCUCCACGUCCAAGCCCUAUUGUUACCCAAGGGACCACCAAUCCUCGGGCGCAUCUUCUUCCUUCCAAGCCUGGCCCUCUCCUUCCGGAAAAGUCAUCCAAUCGGACGCUAAUGAUAAGGUUGAUGUUGAAACUCGAUAUUUUGAUAAAGAUAAAGGCCAAAGCGCAAUUGAAAGAAUCGUUCUCAGAUUGCGAAACUUAGGGCUAGGAUCAGAUGACGAAGAAGAAGACGAUGAUGAAACGGACGACUAUAAUCAGACGCCGGUGACUGGAGAAGAGAGGUUAGGUGAUUUAUUGAAAAGAGAGUGGGUACGGCCUGAUACGAUGGUGAUAGAGAGAGAAAAGAAAGAAGCUGUGCUGCCGUGGGAGCGAGAGGAGGCGGAGGUGGAGGUGGUGGAGGAGAGAGGCUUAGGAUUUAAGAAGAGGAGAGUGAAGGCACCGACAUUGGCGGAGCUGACAAUUGAGGAUGAGGAGCUGAGGAGGUUGAGGAGGAUGGGCAUGUAUUUAAGGGAAAGAAUCAAUGUGCCGAAGGCGGGGAUUACACAGGCGGUUUUGGAGAAGAUUCAUGAUAAGUGGAGGAAGGAGGAGUUAGUUAGGCUUAAGUUUCAUGAGUUUCUAGCUGUGGAUAUGAAGACUGCUCAUGAGAUUGUUGAGCGUCGUACAGGAGGAUUAGUUUUAUGGAGAUCUGGAAGUGUUAUGGUGGUCUAUCGUGGAAGUAACUACGAAGGUCCUUCUAGAUCCCCAUCUAUUGGUGGAGAAGGAGAAACUCUUUUUGUCCCAGAUGUUUCUUCUGCAAGCAAUGCAGUAAGGGGAAGUGAAUCUGGCACGACUUCAACCCCUGAAAAGUGUGAUCCAAUUGUGGUGAAGCCUGAACGUAGUGAAAGCAUGACUGAAGAGGAAGCUGAGUAUAACAGUCUACUAGAUGGUCUAGGACCUAGGUUUGUUGAGUGGUGGGGUACAGGAGUACUUCCAGUUGAUGCUGAUUUACUUCCUCAAAAGAUACCUGGUUAUAAAACACCUUUCAGGCUUCUUCCUGCUGGAAUGAGAGCACGGCUUACGAAUGCAGAAAUGACAAAUUUACGGAAAAUUGCUAAAUCACUUCCUUGUCAUUUUGCCCUGGGGAGGAAUAGAAACCACCAGGGAUUGGCGGCUGCUAUAAUUAAACUUUGGGAGAAAAGCCUUGUUGCAAAGAUUGCUGUAAAACGAGGUAUUCAGAAUACAAAUAACAAGCUUAUGUCUGAGGAGCUAAAGAACUUAACUGGAGGCAUCUUGCUGCUCAGAAACAAGUACUUUAUUGUCAUAUACCGAGGAAAAGAUUUCCUUCCAACAAGUGUUGCUGCUGCUCUGCAAGAAAGACAGGAGUUGACAAAACAGAUUCAAGAUGUCGAGGAGAAAGUGCGGAUCAGAGCAGUUGAGCCAGCUCAAUCAGGUGAAGAAGAUAAAGGACAGACUCCUGCAGGUACAUUAGCUGAGUUUUAUGAAGCUCAAGCCCGCUGGGGAAGAGAUAUAUCUGCAGAAGAACGUGAAAAGAUGAUUGAAGAAGCUUCCAAAGCUAAGCAUGCUAGACUUGUAAAGCACGUCAAACAUAAACUGGCUGUUGCCCAAGCCAAAAAGCUUAGAGCAGAGAAACUAUUAGCUAAAGUAGAAGCCUCUAUGAUCCCUGCUUCGCCAGAUUAUGACCAAGAAACAAUUACUGAUGAGGAACGGGCUAUGUAUCGCAGAGUUGGUUUAAGAAUGAAACCAUACUUACCUCUUGGUAUUCGUGGUGUUUUUGAUGGUGUCAUUGAGAAUAUGCAUCUGCAUUGGAAGCACAGAGAACUUGUGAAGCUAAUAACCAAACAAAAGACCCUUGAAUAUGUUGAAGAUACAGCCAGGUUAUUGGAGUAUGAGAGUGGUGGGAUACUGGUGGCAAUAGAAAGGCUCCCCAAAGGAUAUGUUCUUAUUUAUUAUCGUGGAAAAAAUUACCGUCGGCCCAUUAGCCUGAGGCCAAGAAACCUUCUAACAAAGGCAAAGGCAUUGAAGCGCUCAGUUGCAAUGCAACGCCAUGAGGCUCUGAGUGAGCAUAUUUCUGAACUGGAGAAAACCAUAGAGCAAAUGAAAGGGGAAAUGGGUGCCUCUCAAGAUGUUGAGGAUGACAAUAAUGGGGAGUCAGGCGAGCAUGGCCAGUUUGAUCCUGUUUCGGAACUCACCCAAUUUGAAGCUUCAGUAAAUAGUUUGUCAAGUACUCGAUUGCAAAGUGAGGAUGAAGCUUCAUGUAUGGCAUCUGAUGGUGAUGAGGAAUAUGAUGAUGAGCUUGAUGACUAUGAAGAUGAUGGUGAGUUUGAUGAUGAUGAACAUGAGGAUGAUAACAUUGACUCGGAAGCUGAUGAAGAUUCUUUACAGUCAAACUUUGAAAAAGCCAAUUUUCACAGAUAUCAUUGAUCAAGUUUCCAAAAAUUUUGAACUGACUAGAUUGUGAUUUUCUUUUUGUCCAUAACCCUAUGAGGUUGAACAUUGGGAUGGCUUGGGCUGGACUGUAUAUCAUGGAUGAGUUUUUUUCCCAAGUUGCUCUGUUUAUUAAACGGGGUGAAAGGGCUUGCAUGACUGGCAAUGGUGACAUCCUCAUUUUCUGCAGCAUUCUGUUCAUUUCACCCCAUCAAGAAUGAUGCUACGACUAACUGAAACUUGGUGGUAACACAGCUUCAGGUUCUGUCUGGUCAGUUUUUUUUUUACCAAGUCAUGACAGUCGACAUUAAUAAUGAAUUUCUUAUUUUUUGGAUAUGUAUUUCAUUUAUCAAUUAGGGGAAUAUUAUUUCUCCCAUCGUAAAAGCACUUGGAUUUAUUGUAAUUAUUACUGUAUAUUUUGGUGUUAAUUCAUUGGAAUAUGAUCCGUUUUGCUGUAUAAUGAGCUAGAUCUAUGGAACUUUUGAGUGUCGCAUGUAUUU